RNAcentral lists this ribosomal RNA (253 nucleotides) under uncultured bacterium. Its description in RNAcentral is "partial 16S ribosomal RNA". It matches the Rfam family "Bacterial small subunit ribosomal RNA", at positions 524 to 776 of the family's 1533-position model. The record is from RNAcentral.
CACGUAGGGCGCAAGCGUUGUCCGGAAUUAUUGGGCGUAAAGAGCUCGUAGGCGGUCUGUUGCGUCCGCUGUGAAAACCCGGGGCUUAACCCCUGGCUUGCAGUGGAUACGGACAGACUAGAGGUAGGUAGGGGAGAAUGGAAUUCCCGGUGUAGCGGUGAAACGCGCAGAUAUCGGGAGGAACACCGGUGGCGAAGGCGGUUCUCUGGGCCUUACCUGACGCUGAGGAGCGAAAGCGUGGGGAGCGAACAGG